CUUCAACAUAUCCCUUGAAAGAAACUUCUGUGUAUUUGAUUCCAUUGUAGCAUUUAUCACUCUGUAUUGUAGUUAUUUUCUGACUCUAUAAUUUUAAAGGUCGGGGAAUCCUUCCCCCAACCCCCCUUUUCCCCCUAAUGCCUUACGUAGUAGCUGGCAAGUUGCAUUGAAUGACUGUUAAUAAUCUCAAUUAUUUGUGUAUGUUUGAAUUACCUAUUUGUAGGUAGUUUGUAUACCAGUAUUCCUAUGGUAAUGGUCCACUGUCUGAAGCACAGCUAGCAAGAGGUAAUCAUUAGUUUGUAAAUAUAUAAAAGAAUAAGUUUGCCUAUAUUAAACAAUUGACUGUUUUGGGUCCUUGGACAUGGAGUAGUAGAAAUACAGCAAAAGGGGCACUAGAAGAAAGGCUAAAUUUUGAAGGGUUGAAAUGGGGGAAAUUGUAGGACACUAGGAUGAUGAAGACCUUAUAUUACCCAUACAUCAAUGAAAAACAGCCUGAGUAUCUUUUAAGUGCUUAAAUUUGCCCAGCUGAACAGCACCCCGCACACUACCAUCAUUCCUUCUUUUACAACGCCUUUGAAAUAAUUUUAUACAGUAGACAUAGGUGGCAGUACCUCUAAAAAAAA
This 623-nucleotide long non-coding RNA is filed under the name Marmota monax (woodchuck). The record is from RNAcentral. Lineage: Eukaryota; Metazoa; Chordata; Mammalia; Rodentia; Sciuridae.